This 570-nucleotide ribosomal RNA is filed under the name Sarcophaga peregrina. RNAcentral describes it as "partial 16S ribosomal RNA". The record is from RNAcentral. Lineage: Eukaryota; Metazoa; Arthropoda; Insecta; Diptera; Sarcophagidae.
UUAAUUAUAGUUAAAUAGUAUUGUGAAAGAAAAUUGAAAUAAUUUGAAAAAUUAAUAUUUUAAAAGAAAAUUUAAUUUAUUGUACCUUGUGUAUCAGGGUUUAUUAAUUAAAAAUUAUUUAUUAUAAUUUUCUCGAUUUUAAAAGAGUUAAUAUAUUAUAAAAGUUAAUGUGACAAAAUUAUUUUAUAUAAUAUAUUAGAAAUGAAAUGUUAUUCGUUUUUAAAGGUAUCUAGUUCUUUAAGAAAUAAAUUUAAUUUAGAAAUAUUAUAUUAUUUAGUUAAAUGUAUUAAUUAAAUAAUUAUUUUAUUUUAAUAUUUUAUGGGAUAAGCUGUGAAAUAAAUUAUUAAAAAUUUUUAAAUAGUUUAAUAAAUAUAAGCUUAGAAAUAGCUAUUAUUAAUGAAAUUGUUAUAAUUUAUUUUAUAAUAUUUAUUAUUUAUUAAAUUUUAAUUAUGUAUUAGAGUAUUUAUUUUAAUUUUAAAAAUAAAAAAAUAAUGAUAAAAUUAGUAUAUUAUGAUGUAUAAAUAUGUGAAAUUGAUAAGUUUUUAUAAAGAACUCGGCAAAAAUAAUGUU